CCCUUAGAUGUUCUGGGCUGCACGCGUGCUACACUGAGUAAUUCAAUGGGUAAGGGAACGCUAGAGCAUUACCUAAUCUUGAAAUUUGCUCGUGAUGGGGAUCGACGGUUGCAAUUUUCCGUCGUGAACGAGGAAUACCUUGUAGGCGCAUGUCAUCAUCAUGCGCCGAAUACGUCCCUGCCCUUUGUACACACCGCCCGUCGCUCCUACCGAUUGAGUGAUCCGGUGAGGCUCUGGGACCUGGACGGAAAGAGCGUUUCGCUUGUUCUGUUUGGGAAACUUGGUCGAACCUUAUCAUUUAGAGGAAGGAGAAGUCGUAACA
This 322-nucleotide ribosomal RNA is filed under the name uncultured eukaryote. RNAcentral's name for it is "partial 18S ribosomal RNA". It matches the Rfam family "Eukaryotic small subunit ribosomal RNA", at positions 1470 to 1796 of the family's 1831-position model. The record is from RNAcentral.